This is a long non-coding RNA of Lynx canadensis (Canada lynx), 1359 nucleotides long. RefSeq lists it as uncharacterized. The transcript is spliced from 2 exons. The record is from RefSeq and is a predicted model, not a curated record. Lineage: Eukaryota; Metazoa; Chordata; Mammalia; Carnivora; Felidae.
AGUCAGACGCUUAACCGACUGAGCCACCCAGGCGCCCCUCUUUCUCUUCUUGAUACAGGUGGUGCCAACAGAUCCUCUUAAGGAUUAUCUGUCAGCUGUGUGCAAGCUGUUUGAGGUGCAUUUGAACCCUUUCAUCUCAGUACAUUGCUCUUCUGCAUGUCCCUUCCCUUUAUAAAUUCAGUAGACUAAGGUCUGGAUUUUGCAGAGAAUAACUGUGCAGCUGCUGUGGGUCAUCUUCUGCCCGAUUCCACCUUGUCAAAUUUUGAAAGUUCUUGGGAGCAGAGGUGAAGAAGUGCCCCAGUCUCCUGUCUGCAUCCAGGAAACAAUGCUGACUCUGAACUAGAUCUUGAAGAAUGAGCACAUGUCUUGACAGCUUAAGAGGAAAACAGUUCCUGGCAGAAAUAAGAGCAUAUAUACAUCAGCUAAGGGUGCUAGGAGCUCCACACCUUCCCUAUGGACUUCUGUUGCACACCGGAUUCUGAUUCAUUUUCAUAAAACAUUGUCUUCAUCAUGUCACUCUCCUGCUCCAAAUUUUAUAGUAACUGUUACUGUCUGAGAGAUAAAGGUCAGAUUCUUCAACCUGACACUCAAAUUUCUACAUUUUUAUUUGACAGUGAAAAUACAUAUAAUUAAACUAGUCCCCAAAGUCUCUUCCCACCCAUCAAAAUGUAAUGAGAAGUGAUUUAAGAGUAAUAGUGUAAUUUUAACUUUGAAUUAAACCACCUGACUGGGAAGAUAACUCCUGGAUCGCUCUAUGUUCCUAAGUUCUGGAAUACAGAGAAUAAGUCUCACACUCAGUAUGUGUUAACCUGUUUUAGUUACAAACCCAAGGAAAUGUCAUUUUGGGGAAGAGAUUUCUAUAGGUCUUCACACAAUUCUGAAUCCUUUCAUCAUGGAAUUUGUUUGAAGUGUGAAAACUUCUCAUUUCUUCCGAUUACUGGAUCCAUCAGGAAAAGGUCCCUUGAGUGUCUUUGCUCUUGUAUGUAGCAGAUAUUAUCUAAGGCUGUACAGCACAAUGUAGUAAGCCUACUUAUAUAGCUACUGAGCACUUGAAAUGUGGCUGUUGUGACCGAGGAACUGAAUAUUUAAUUUUAGUUAAAUUUGAAAACUAACAGUGUAAAAUAUUUUCUCAUUAUACACAUUUUAUUGUUUUGGAAGGACUGCAUUUCAAUUUAACCUUGGAAAAUUUAGUGUCCCAAGUUUAGGUGAGCUAUACAUGUAAAAUGCAUGUUGUAUUUCAAAGACUUGGAACAACAAGACAAAAUGCAAAAUAUCUUAAUGUUGUUUUUCAGAUUGAUGACAUGUUGAAAUAAUAGUUUGGAUGUAUUUGGUUUAAAUAAAAUCUAGCAUUAAACUUAA